AUCGCUUCUCGGCCUUUUGGCUAAGAUCAAGUGUAUAUCUGUUCUUAUCAGUUUAAAAAAGAGCUACAGACUGAACAGCACUAAAACUCAUUAAAUCCAUCAAAAAUUCCA
Molecule: small nuclear RNA, 111 nt
Organism: Oryctolagus cuniculus (rabbit)
Lineage: Eukaryota; Metazoa; Chordata; Mammalia; Lagomorpha; Leporidae
Gene: U2
Rfam family: U2 spliceosomal RNA
About the family: U2 is a small nuclear RNA (snRNA) component of the spliceosome (involved in pre-mRNA splicing).
Source: Ensembl